CUCAGUUAAUGCUAGUAGACAGCUUUGGCAAUGAUGCCAAGUAAUGGCACCAAGAUAGAUGGAGUGGGCAGUUUUCUGUUAAGUGGCAUAUCAGAUUAGGUGGUUUGGUCAUCAACAGCAGAUGUAGAUUAGUGGUCGGCCUAUGGAUUUUCUAGAACAGAGAGCCCACUGCACCAUUUCUUUGCAGGAUUUUAGGGUUGUCAUGGAGUUGAAUCCUUAGCAACUAGGUGAAGACUGGUCGUUGUUGCUGGAGAAAAUAUAUACACAUGCAUUCGAAGAGUAAUGGGUCUUGAUCUCAUCAUUUCUUUCCAGUUGAGUAAAAAUAGGUCCCUGUUAAAUCAGAAAGACAUAUUGCUGAUAUUUUCCUAUGGGCCACUAAUUUGCCAUGAUAUGGUGAUUUCUCGAUUAUUGACCAUUAAAGCAAAUCACGCACUCUGUCAAGGUCAUAAACCUGUAGGCAAGACUUUAUGAGGAUUGUGGAUGUGAAGACAUAUCAGGUCAACAGUCAUGACUGUUCUUCAUUAGUUCAAGAAUGCUUUUUCAAAAAUUUGUUCUCAUGUUUUUUGCAUGAGUUCGUUCUGCAGAGUCUUGUGAAUUGUAAAGCCUUUCACACAACACUUCCAACUACACUAAGUUGUCCAUUAUUGCUUACAUCAAACCAAAAGACCCUUCACAAGUCAUUCCAGGUGAUCAAGACCUUGCACUUAUCCAAUCCAAC
This 718-nucleotide long non-coding RNA is filed under the name Olea europaea subsp. europaea. The record is from RNAcentral. Lineage: Eukaryota; Viridiplantae; Streptophyta; Magnoliopsida; Lamiales; Oleaceae.